Molecule: small RNA, 636 nt
Filed under: Pongo abelii (Sumatran orangutan)
Lineage: Eukaryota; Metazoa; Chordata; Mammalia; Primates; Hominidae
Description: processed transcript
Source: RNAcentral
GGUGGGGGUGAGGGGGCCUCUCUAGCUUGCGGCCUGUGUCUAUGGUCGGGCCCUCUGCGUCCAGCUGCUCCGGACCGAGCUCAGGUGUAUGGGGCCGUAGGAACCGGCUCCGGGGCCCCGAUAACGGGCCGCCCCCGCAGCACCCCGGCCUGGCGUGAGGGUCUCCCUUGAUCUGAGAAUGGCUACCUCUCGAUAUGAGCCAGUGGCUGAAAUUGGUGUCGGUGCCUAUGGGACAGUGUACAAGGCCCGUGAUCCCCACAGUGGCCACUUUGUGGCCCUCAAGAGUGUGAGAGUCCCCAAUGGAGGAGGAGCUGGAGGAGGCCUUCCCAUCAGCACAGUUCGUGAGGUGGCUUUACUGAGGCGACUGGAGGCUUUUGAGCAUCCCAAUGUUGUCCGGCUGAUGGACGUCUGUGCCACAUCCCGAACUGACCGGGAGAUCAAGAGAUGUUUCGUCGAAAGCCUCUCUUCUGUGGAAACUCUGAAGCCGACCAGUUGGGCAAAAUCUUUGACCUGAUUGGGCUGCCUCCAGAGGAUGACUGGCCUCGAGAUGUAUCCCUGCCCCGUGGAGCCUUUCCCCCCAGAGGGCCCCGCCCAGUGCAGUCGGUGGUACCUGAGAUGGAGGAGUCGGGAGCGCAG